CCGAGUUCAUGCCCGUAUGGGUAGAUCUCCCACCCUGUGUUGUUAUACUUUGUUGCUUUGGCGGGCCGUCAGGCCUUGGUCUGGCUACCGGCUCCGGCUGGUAAGCGCCCGCCAGAGGACCCCAAACCCUGAAUGUCAGUGUCGUCUGAGUACUAUAUAAUAGUUA
This 166-nucleotide unclassified non-coding RNA is filed under the name uncultured fungus. RNAcentral's name for it is "sequence contains ITS1, 5.8S rRNA gene". Lineage: Eukaryota; Fungi. The record is from RNAcentral.